GUAUUUUCUCACCAUUUGAAUUCUUCUGGCGUGUACUUCAAUGCGUUCUUCUAAAGUAUCUUCACUUGCCUUUCUCGCCUUCAAAGGAGCUGGUGCUCAGAGUGAGAAAUAGGAGCAGCACCUUGGUGUGUGAAGUGAAUGGUGGUGGCUCAGGAUGAAGUUGUCUGUUCCAGAAUGUCCCCAUGGACUGUCCCCUGUGGUUUCCAUGAACAACCCUGGGGCUCCACACCCAGGCUAAGAUCAAGGAAAGACCAACUGCAUGAUGAGACAGUGCAUAGACAGAACAGGGCCUCCAGUACAUGUCCACCCGGAACCAAGUUAACAUGAGGUGGCACUAGGUCAGGCUGUCUCCAAACCAAUGACUUAGGUCUUUGUAAGGAAAAUGUAGGGAGAUUUGAGAUGCAGAUACAGAGGAGGAUGACAUGUAAGAAUGGAGGCAGAGAUGGGAACAAUGCAGAAAUGAGCUGAGAAUUCCCAGCAGCCAACAGAUGCCAGAAGAGACAAGGAAGGUCUUCCUCCAUGGGAACGUGG
RNAcentral lists this long non-coding RNA (531 nucleotides) under Heterocephalus glaber (naked mole-rat). Its description in RNAcentral is "lncRNA (ENSHGLG00100045241.1)". Lineage: Eukaryota; Metazoa; Chordata; Mammalia; Rodentia; Bathyergidae. The record is from RNAcentral.